AUUGAACGCUGGCGGCAGGCCUAACACAUGCAAGUCGAACGAGUGGCGGACGGGUGAGUAAUGUCUGGGAAACUGCCUGAUGGAGGGGGAUAACUACUGGAAACGGUAGCUAAUACCGCAUACCAUCAGAUGUGCCCAGAUGGGAUUAGCUUGUUGGUGGGGUAACGGCUCACCAAGGCGACGAUCCCUAGCUGGUCUGAGAGGAUUACCGGCCACACUGGAACUGUGACACGGUCGAGACUCCUACGGGAGUCAGCAGUGGGGAAUAUUGCACAAUGGGCGCAAGCCUGAUCCAGCCAUGCCGCGUGUGUGAAGAAGGUCUUCGGAUUGUAAAGCACUUGAAGUUUGGAGGCGUUACCGACAGAAUAAGCACCGGCUAACUGCGUGCCAGCAGCCGCGGUAAUUC
RNAcentral lists this ribosomal RNA (406 nucleotides) under uncultured bacterium. RNAcentral describes it as "partial 16S ribosomal RNA". It matches the Rfam family "Bacterial small subunit ribosomal RNA", at positions 30 to 526 of the family's 1533-position model. The record is from RNAcentral.